AUUGAACGCUGGCGGCAUGCCUUACACAUGCAAGUCGAACGGCAGCAUGAUCUAGCUUGCUAGAUUGAUGGCGAGUGGCGAACGGGUGAGUAAUACAUCGGAACGUGCCCUGUCGUGGGGGAUAACUAGUCGAAAGAUUAGCUAAUACCGCAUACGACCUGAGGGUGAAAGUGGGGGACCGCAAGGCCUCAUGCUAUAGGAGCGGCCGAUGUCUGAUUAGCUAGUUGGUGAGGUAAAGGCUCACCAAGGCGACGAUCAGUAGCUGGUCUGAGAGGACGAUCAGCCACACUGGGACUGAGACACGGCCCAGACUCCUACGGGAGGCAGCAGUGGGGAAUUUUGGACAAUGGGCGAAAGCCUGAUCCAGCAAUGCCGCGUGUGUGAAGAAGGCCUUCGGGUUGUAAAGCACUUUUGUCCGGAAAGAAAUGGCUCUGGUUAAUACCUGGGGUCGAUGACGGUACCGGAAGAAUAAGGACCGGCUAACUACGUG
This 490-nucleotide ribosomal RNA is filed under the name uncultured bacterium. RNAcentral's name for it is "partial 16S ribosomal RNA". It matches the Rfam family "Bacterial small subunit ribosomal RNA", at positions 30 to 507 of the family's 1533-position model. The record is from RNAcentral.